This 301-nucleotide unclassified non-coding RNA is filed under the name uncultured Podospora. Its description in RNAcentral is "sequence contains ITS1". The stretch from base 1 to 105 matches the Rfam family "5.8S ribosomal RNA", at positions 50 to 154 of the family's 154-position model. Lineage: Eukaryota; Fungi; Ascomycota; Sordariomycetes; Sordariales; Lasiosphaeriaceae. The record is from RNAcentral.
GAAAUGCGAUAAGUAAUGUAAAUUGCAGAAUUCAGUGAAUCAUCGAAUCUUUGAACGCACAUUGCGCCCGCCAGUAUUCUGGCGGGCAUGCCUGUUCGAGCGUCAUUUCAACCAUCAAGCCCCUGCGCUUGUGUUGGAGCCCUGCGGCUGCCGCAGGCUCCCAAACCCAGUGGCGGGCUCGUCGUCGUACCGAGUGCAGGAAACUUACCACGCUCAGGGCACGCGACGGGUGACCGGCCGUAAAACCCCCCACUUUCUCAAGGUUGACCUCGGAUCAGGUAGGAAUACCCGCUGAACUUAA